GACGAACGCUGGCGGCGUGCCUAAUACAUGCAAGUAGAACGCUUAAGGAGGAGCUUGCUCUUCUGUAUGAGUUGCGAACGGGUGAGUAACGCGUAGGUAACCUUCCUGGUAGCGGGGGAUAACUAUUGGAAACGAUAGCUACUACCUCAUAACAGUAGAUGUUGCAUGACAUUUUCUUAAAAUGUGCAAUUGCACCACUACCAGAUGGACCUGCGUUGUAUUAGCUAGUUGGUGGGGUAACGGCUCACCAAGGCGACGAUACAUAGCCGACCUGAGAGGGUGAUCGGGCACACUGGGACUGAGACACGGCCCAGACUCCUACGGGAGGCAGCAGUAGGGAAUCUUCGGAAAUGGACGGAAGGCUGACCGAGCAACGCCGCGUGAGUGAAGAAGGUUUUCGGAUCGUAAAGCUAUGUUGUAAGAGAAGAACGAGUGUGAGGGUGGAAAGUUCACACUGUGACGGUAUCUUAACAGAAAGAGACGGCUAACUACGUG
RNAcentral lists this ribosomal RNA (495 nucleotides) under uncultured bacterium. RNAcentral's name for it is "partial 16S ribosomal RNA". It matches the Rfam family "Bacterial small subunit ribosomal RNA", at positions 28 to 507 of the family's 1533-position model. The record is from RNAcentral.